UGCUGCUGUGGAUGUAUGUUUGUC
Molecule: non-coding RNA, 24 nt
Filed under: Rattus norvegicus (Norway rat)
Lineage: Eukaryota; Metazoa; Chordata; Mammalia; Rodentia; Muridae
Source: RNAcentral